GGCGCCGUCUGUGGGGAU
RNAcentral lists this small nuclear RNA (18 nucleotides) under Arabidopsis thaliana (thale cress). RNAcentral's name for it is "snRNA_07422". Lineage: Eukaryota; Viridiplantae; Streptophyta; Magnoliopsida; Brassicales; Brassicaceae. The record is from RNAcentral.